UGACCUCGGAUCAGGUAGGACUACCCGCUGAACUUAAGCAUAUCAAUAAGCGGAGGAAAAGAAACCAACAGGGAUUGCCCCAGUAACGGCGAGUGAAGCGGCAACAGCUCAGAUUUGGAAUCUGGCCCCCAGGGCCCGAGUUGUAAUCUGGAGAGGAUGUUUCUGGCGCGGCGCCUUCCGAGUUCCCUGGAACGGGACGCCGGAGAGGGUGAGAGCCCCGUACGGUUGGACGCCAAGCCUUUGUGAAGCUCCUUCGACGAGUCGAGUAGUUUGGGAAUGCUGCUCAAAAUGGGAGGUAAAUUUCUUCUAAAGCUAAAUACCGGCCAGAGACCGAUAGCGCACAAGUAGAGUGAUCGAAAGAUGAAAAGCACUUUGAAAAGAGGGUCAAACAGUACGUGAAAUUGUUGAAAGGGAAGCGCCCGUGGCCAGACUUGCGCCCUGCGGAUCAUCCGUCGGCUUUACCGGCGGUGCACUCCGCUGGGCGCAGGCCAGCAUCGGUUCUUCUAGGGGGAUAAAGGCGGCGGGAACGUGGCUCCCAUUGGGAGUGUUAUAGCCCGUCGUGCCAUGCCCCUGGGGGGACCGAGGACCGCGCUUCGGCAAGGAUGCUGGCGUAAUGGCCACCGGCGACCCGUCUUGAAACACGGACC
Molecule: ribosomal RNA, 647 nt
Filed under: Grosmannia crassivaginata
Lineage: Eukaryota; Fungi; Ascomycota; Sordariomycetes; Ophiostomatales; Ophiostomataceae
Description: partial 28S ribosomal RNA
Rfam family: Eukaryotic large subunit ribosomal RNA
Source: RNAcentral